Molecule: unclassified non-coding RNA, 732 nt
Filed under: Hevea brasiliensis (rubber tree)
Lineage: Eukaryota; Viridiplantae; Streptophyta; Magnoliopsida; Malpighiales; Euphorbiaceae
Source: RNAcentral
AAACCCAUUCCCUCUGUUUUCCUUUUUUUAUAAGAAUUUUAUAUAUUGGUUUUGCAAUUACCAGGUUUAAUUGCAGCUUUUAUGAUCUGAUCUUGAGCAUCCAGUCAUGUCGAUGCUUGAUUCCUUCUUCAACAAGGGCUUUAAGGCUGCCAAAUGUAAAACCCUACUCAAGUUGACUAUCCCGCGCAUAAAGUUUCUGAGGAAUAGGAGAGAGAUUCAGAUAAAGCAAAUGCGUCGGGACAUUGCUAAGCUUCUUGAGACUGGUCAAGAAGCUACUGCUCGCAUUCGGGUAGAGCAUAUAAUAAGAGAAGAGAACAUGAUGGCUGCUCAAGAAAUCCUUGAGCUAUUCUCUGAGCUGAUUUCUGUGCGCCUUCCAAUCAUUGAAUCACAAAGGGAAUGUCCUUUAGACUUGAAAGAAGCAAUAUCUAGCAUCUGUUUUGCUGCGCCAAGAUGUGCCGAUCUGCCAGAGUUGCUGCAAGUUCAAAUGCUAUUUGCUUCCAAAUAUGGAAAGGAAUUUGUAGUCGCUGCAAAUGAGCUUAUGCCAGAAUGUGGUGUCAAUCGCCAGUUGAUAGAAUUUUUAUCUGUUCGUGCUCCUUCACCUGAAGCAAAAUUGAAGCUUCUGAAGGAAAUUGCUGAGGAGCAUGAAUUAGAUUGGGAUCCAGCUGCUUUUGAAACCGAGCUUUUAAAACCACAUGAAGACUUGUUGAAUGGUCCAACACAAUUUGUUAGUGG